This 253-nucleotide ribosomal RNA is filed under the name uncultured bacterium. RNAcentral's name for it is "partial 16S ribosomal RNA". It matches the Rfam family "Bacterial small subunit ribosomal RNA", at positions 524 to 776 of the family's 1533-position model. The record is from RNAcentral.
UACGUAGGGGGCAAGCGUUGUUCGGAAUUACUGGGCGUAAAGCGUGCGCAGGCGGUUGUGCAAGACAGAUGUGAAAUCCCCGGGCUUAACCUGGGAACUGCAUUUGUGACUGCACGGCUGGAGUGCGGCAGAGGGGGAUGGAAUUCCGCGUGUAGCAGUGAAAUGCGUAGAUAUGCGGAGGAACACCGAUGGCGAAGGCAAUCCCCUGGGCCUGCACUGACGCUCAUGCACGAAAGCGUGGGGAGCAAACAGG